Non-coding RNA from Myotis lucifugus (little brown bat), 75 nucleotides. The record is from Rfam. NCBI's taxonomy places the organism in Eukaryota, Metazoa, Chordata, Mammalia, Chiroptera, Vespertilionidae.
GGCGGUUCUUGGGUGAUGCACCCCUGAAUCGGGCUCCCUCCUCUCUGGUUCUGGGUGCGUCACCCGAGAACCGCA